AAGUCGUAACAAGGUUUCCGUAGGUGAACCUGCGGAAGGAUCAUUACUAAUUUAUAGUCUCAGACUAUUCAGUUUCAAACUGGUCAUCAUUCACGUUGAUCUAUAGGAUUAUAGAUUAACAGUGGUUUUUGGGUGUUUUUGAUACUAAAAAUGCCCACAUCAGUGGUAUAGUACUAUCCACUCUAAAUAUUUGUACUAUGAAACCAAACUAACAUCCAAACCAUGAUUGUGAUUGUUAAAUAAACAAAAUAACUUUUAACAAUGGAUCUCUUGGCUCUU
This 279-nucleotide unclassified non-coding RNA is filed under the name fungal sp. Its description in RNAcentral is "partial internal transcribed spacer region". The stretch from base 1 to 46 matches the Rfam family "Eukaryotic small subunit ribosomal RNA", at positions 1786 to 1831 of the family's 1831-position model. Lineage: Eukaryota; Fungi. The record is from RNAcentral.